AUUCUUGUGCUAGGGCAAAACCACGAAAGUGAGGUUCAUACUGAUUCUGGUUUAUUGCUGGUUGAAAACGUUAUAUUUUUUUUUUGUAAAUAAAUAAUUUAUUUUUAUUUAUAAA
This 115-nucleotide small nuclear RNA is filed under the name Rhizopus delemar RA 99-880. RNAcentral's name for it is "Rhizopus oryzae RA 99-880 U4 spliceosomal RNA". It matches the Rfam family "U4 spliceosomal RNA". Rfam says of the family: U4 small nuclear RNA (U4 snRNA) is a component of the major U2-dependent spliceosome. The structure of U4 snRNA from yeast and human has been reported. RNAcentral also lists the same sequence under 1 other name. Lineage: Eukaryota; Fungi; Mucoromycota; Mucoromycetes; Mucorales; Rhizopodaceae. The record is from Rfam by way of RNAcentral.